Molecule: long non-coding RNA, 227 nt
Organism: Bufo bufo (common toad)
Lineage: Eukaryota; Metazoa; Chordata; Amphibia; Anura; Bufonidae
Exons: 3
Source: RefSeq, a predicted model, not a curated record
CCUGUCUCCUGAGUGAUGCUUAGAUGAUGGCCCAAGAUGGGAUCACGUGUUGAUGGAAGGGCAGAUGGCGGAAUCCUAAAAGUCUUUGUAUCCGGAACCAAGAGAACCUGAGGUCAAGGCUAUCCGUGACGCAAGAGACGUCCAGUCGGAGCCAACCCAGAUGUAUCCAAGAUGUAUCCAGGAGGGACAAGUGGGCAGAGCCCCAGGAGAUUCGACAGCCGCUGCAA